UGACCAAGUGAUGGAUGAGGAGCGAGAG
RNAcentral lists this small RNA (28 nucleotides) under Bombyx mori (domestic silkworm). RNAcentral describes it as "ovarian small RNA-31507". The record is from RNAcentral. Lineage: Eukaryota; Metazoa; Arthropoda; Insecta; Lepidoptera; Bombycidae.